RNAcentral lists this ribosomal RNA (469 nucleotides) under uncultured diatom. RNAcentral describes it as "SSU rRNA". It matches the Rfam family "Bacterial small subunit ribosomal RNA", at positions 217 to 699 of the family's 1533-position model. The record is from RNAcentral. Lineage: Eukaryota; Bacillariophyta.
GCCUAAAGAAAAGCUCGCGGCUGAUUAGCUUGUUGGUAAGGUAAUGGCUUACCAAGGCGACGAUCAGUAUCUGGUUUGAGAGGACGAUCAGACACACUGGAACUGAGACACGGUCCAGACUCCUACGGGAGGCAGCAGUGGGGAAUUUUCCGCAAUGGGCGAAAGCCUGACGGAGCAAUACCGCGUGAGGGAAGACGGCCUAUGGGUUGUAAACCUCUUUUUUCAGGGAGGAACAAAAUGACGUGUACCUGAAGAAUAAGCAUCGGCUAACUCCGUGCCAGCAGCCGCGGUAAGACGGAGGAUGCAAGUGUUAUCCGGAAUCACUGGGCGUAAAGCGUCUGUAGGUGGUUUGUUAAGUCAACUGUUAAAUCUUGAGGCUCAACUUCAAAUCAGCAGUCGAAACUAUCAGACUAGAGUAUAGUAGGGGUAAAGGGAAUUUCCAGUGGAGCGGUGAAAUGCGUAGAUAUUG